This 253-nucleotide ribosomal RNA is filed under the name uncultured bacterium. Its description in RNAcentral is "partial 16S ribosomal RNA". It matches the Rfam family "Bacterial small subunit ribosomal RNA", at positions 524 to 776 of the family's 1533-position model. The record is from RNAcentral.
UACGUAGGUGGCAAGCGUUGUUCGGAAUUAUUGGGCGUAAAGGGCGCGUAGGCGGUUUGUUAAGUCGGCUGUGAAAGCCCGGGGCUCAACCCCGGAGGGUCAGCCGAUACUGGCAGACUAGAGUACGGAAGAGGUAGCUGGAAUUCCCGGUGUAGCAGUGAAAUGCGUAGAUAUCAGGAGGAAUACCGAUGGCGAAGGCAGGUCUCUGGGCUGACACUGACGCUCAUGCACGAAAGCGUGGGGAGCAAACAGG